This 446-nucleotide ribosomal RNA is filed under the name uncultured soil bacterium. Its description in RNAcentral is "bacterial SSU rRNA". It matches the Rfam family "Bacterial small subunit ribosomal RNA", at positions 26 to 518 of the family's 1533-position model. The record is from RNAcentral.
AGAACGAACGCUGGCGGCAUGCCUAAUACAUGCAAGUCGAACGAACUCUUCGGAGUUAGUGGCGCACGGGUGCGUAACGCGUGGGAAUCUGCCCCUUGGUUCGGAAUAACAGUUGGAAACGACUGCUAAUACCGGAUGAUGACGAAAGUCCAAAGAUUUAUCGCCAAGGGAUGAGCCCGCGUAGGAUUAGCUAGUUGGUGAGGUAAAGGCUCACCAAGGCAACGAUCCUUAGCUGGUCUGAGAGGAUGAUCAGCCACACUGGGACUGAGACACGGCCCAGACUCCUACGGGAGGCAGCAGUAGGGAAUAUUGGACAAUGGGCGAAAGCCUGAUCCAGCAAUGCCGCGUGAGUGAUGAAGGCCUUAGGGUUGUAAAGCUCUUUUACCCGAGAUGAUAAUGACAGUAUCGGAGAAUAAGCCCCGGAUAACCUCCGUACCAGCAGCCGC